RNAcentral lists this ribosomal RNA (269 nucleotides) under uncultured Planctomycetales bacterium. RNAcentral describes it as "partial 16S ribosomal RNA". It matches the Rfam family "Bacterial small subunit ribosomal RNA", at positions 565 to 832 of the family's 1533-position model. The record is from RNAcentral. Lineage: Bacteria; Pseudomonadati; Planctomycetota; Planctomycetia; Planctomycetales.
GAGCACGUAGGUGGGUUUGUAAGUCAGAUGUGAAAGCCUUCUGUUCAACGGAAGAAUUGCAUCUGAAACUGCGAGUCUUGAGUGUAGGAGGGGAGAGUGGAACUUCUGGUGGAGCGAUGAAAUGCGUAGAUAUCAGAAGGAACUCCGGCGGCGAAAGCGAUUCUCUGGCCUAUUACUGACACUCAGUGUGCGAAAGCUAGGGGAGCAAACGGGAUUAGAUACCCCGGUAGUCCUAGCCGUAAACGAUGGGCACUAAGUAGAGGGGUUUU